This is a long non-coding RNA of Pezoporus occidentalis (night parrot), 1542 nucleotides long. RefSeq lists it as uncharacterized. NCBI's taxonomy places the organism in Eukaryota, Metazoa, Chordata, Aves, Psittaciformes, Psittacidae. The transcript has 2 exons. The record is from RefSeq and is a predicted model, not a curated record.
CAGUGUUAACACUGCGUCUUAUUUAUCGCAAGUAAUUUCUUUGUGGACAGUGGCAGUCUUAAUGGUAAAAUUUAUGUGACAGUCGGACUUUAGUGACAUAGAAAAGUGUGAAUGGUUGUUACCAUGAUGCAGAGAAGAUGCUUCAGCCUUUUCCUUACUGGAGAGAAAUGAUUCUGGUGUGAUUUUGGGAGCCACUGAUGGAUGGCAAGCUGAUCGUGCUUUUCUAGGAUGUUCCUUAUGUUUAUUGCUGGCUGUGAAAACGAGGACUGAAUGUUUCUGUAUGGCAUUACAUUUUUUCUGCAUGUUAUACUUAGUCUGGUGUCAGUAAUUUUAAGAAGGUGAUUUGUUCUCAUGUACUGAGAACAAAUAUGCAAAACCUUGUGAUUUCUUUUUAAAGCUUUGGUUCAUCAAGGAACAUAAAUUCGUGCCUGAUUUCAAAUGUAUCAGCUGUUCUGUGACUGUCAUUCACAUCAUAUUUUUGAUGUCCAGCAUAUACUUAGUCCUUUGUGAGCCCUUCAGCAGUUUCAGCUGGUUAGGGACAAGAUUAUGGCAGAACAAAUUACUCCUUUCCCGGUGGCAGAGGACGGGUUUGGUACCAUUUCACAUGGGAAAGCCGGAAAAAGGAAGAGAUUAACGUCUGUUAGGUCACAGAUUCACUUGGCAGGGAAGGAUGAACCACAGGGACCUUCUUGGGAUCGUGCCAGCAGCUGUGAGAGUUACAGCUAUGCACCUUCUCAUGCAGACCGUUUGUAACCUGGGGAUUUGCACACCGUAACGAAGCCCCUGCUUUGCCCAGCACAGUGUGACACCUGCAGCACUUGGACCUGCGUGUGCUGCGGAGGGAUGGCUCCCGACAGCUCUGCUCCGCUGGCUCUGCAGAACGACUUCUCUGAAGGGUGUGAAAGCUGCGGCUCGCUGUGCUCGAGCAGAUGGCAGUGUUUCUGAGCUGGCCUGUUUCUGGAGGCGGUGGUGGUAGGAAACCAAACCAUUAAACGCAGCCGCAGCAAACUGCUGAGUCAAGGCUGGGGCAAUCACGUGAAAUGCCAAAACCAGCAGCGGUGGUGGGGCCGCGCAGGGCGGGUUGCUGCAGCCACAGCGGGCUUCCUGCAGGAGCGCGCUGGAGCCUGGUGUUGCGACACAGCAGGAGCAACUCAGUCCCAGCCGAGCAGGAAGAAGCCCAGGCACAGGCGGCGGUAGUUCGUCACAAGCCUGUUGCACAAACACCGCUCGCGUACGUGCUGUUUGGUUUGAUCGCACGCUGGGUGCCUGGCGAGGUGGCAGCGGGGCAGGAGCUGGUACAGCCGGUGCUCCUUCGCUGACCCACACGGGGACAGCAGCCCGUGCUGCAAGGUGCAGGGUUGGGGUAGGUUGCUGCGCUCAGCAGCGUUUCCAGCUGCUGCUGCGUGCGACGUGUAUCACGGCACUCAGCAGGUGGGUUACCAUGUGGCAGCUGAUGAGAUUUAUGGGUUUCGUGAGUCAUGCCAAACUACUUCUAGAUGUAGAUCUGUUUAACGUGGGAAAAAAAAAAUCGUUUCACUGACA